CCGGUUUGGGUGUGGCCGCAUGGCGUGCUGUGGUGCAGGUGGCCGAAGGGGGCGUUACUGUUGCGACUGGCAUCCGCAUCCGGCAGAUGUAGAUGGAACCAAAGUCCAGAAGUUACGCGUCACCCUUGCUCUACAGCCAAACAUGCAGGACUCUAGUAACCCGCGAAAUGAUGGGAUAGCGUUGCAAAUCCUUAAAAGAGUCUUAACGGAGAAGGGAAAAUGUUACAUUGUCAAAGUCCCAAAGCCUUUCAGCCUGAAGCCAGGAACAAUUGUUCAAAGUUUCUUUGGAACAUCAAGGAAGGAAAUCCAGAUUUUACUUUAAGUGCAAUGGGGAGUCAUUAAGGAUUUUGUGUAGAUACAGCAAAAAGACAACAAUCUUCAAGCCACAAUGGCCCUCACCAGAACCCAGCCAUGUGGUCAGCCUGAUCUCGGACUUCACAGCCAGCAGAACUGUGAGAAUUAAAUCUUAUGUUUAAAUCACCUAGCCUAUGGUAUUUUAAUUAUUUAUUUAUUUUUAUUAUGCUUUAAGUUCUAGGGUACAUGUGCACAACGUGCAGGUUUGUUACAUAUGUAUACAUGUGCUGUGUUGGUUUGCUGCACCUGUUAACUCGUCAUUUACGUUAGGUAUUUCACCUAAUGCUAUCCCUCCUCCAUGACCCCAC
Molecule: long non-coding RNA, 662 nt
Filed under: Homo sapiens (human)
Lineage: Eukaryota; Metazoa; Chordata; Mammalia; Primates; Hominidae
Description: non-protein coding UBA6-AS1:3
Source: RNAcentral